RNAcentral lists this long non-coding RNA (2262 nucleotides) under Nicotiana tabacum (common tobacco). RNAcentral describes it as "long non-coding RNA (NTAB_LNC000727)". The record is from RNAcentral. Lineage: Eukaryota; Viridiplantae; Streptophyta; Magnoliopsida; Solanales; Solanaceae.
UUGCUUACAUUUAUAAUUAUUAAGCUAAAAAUAUAUGGGCCUCGUCUACUAUUUUCAUUAAAAACCCUACCCCCAAUCUUUCCUCUUAAAACGUGCCUUUAAUCUUCCGCUUUCCUCUGUUCCUCAUACCCAAAUAAUUUAUGCCGUCAUCUCAUAUUCACGAAAUUGAUCGGAGUGCAAAUCACAUUCUCGAAGUUCAAAGUCGCACCCGAUUAGCGAUAAACAAAUCUCAGUGUAACGCCAAAAAUUGAAAGGGGAAGCAUCCAUGUUGGUCUUAGAUUGUUCUAGAACUCUAAACAUGACAGAUACUACUGAUACUUCUCAGACUUUUGAUCGAGGUUAUUAAGGUGCGUUAAGUAUUUACUUUUUAUGAUUUUCAUUCUAUUAUGUUUACUGGAUUGUAUUUCCUGCCUUUAAAAUGAUUGCCCUUUCGUUUAUUAUGAUGUACUGAAGUUUGUUGUGCUUGGGAAGUGGUAGCUAGGUUUAUUUAUGCAUUUAACAGUUCUCUGUUUGUGUUCAAGAUACAUGGCUAUUGUGGAGUGAUGAAAUUGAAUCAUUUUGGGGAUAAAGCUUUAGUAUCUGCACCUUUUUUCUUUUAAUGUGAUUGUGUAUUCACAGCUUUUGUUUCAUUUCAGUGGCUGAUUGUUUCUUCUAUUGGAUUUUGUCUAUUCUUACAUCUUUAAUAUGAUUGUUUUACUAUCAUGUUGUUAUAGUUAAUGCUUGUUACGCUCCUUCUUAGUCCAUGUAAAUUAUUUAAUUAGUUGAUUAGGUUUAUAGGUGCUAAUAGAGGUAGGAUGAGUGUAGAAAGGACCUACAGGUCCAAAUUACAUAAAUCUUGCUUGGAUAAGUCAGAAACUGAACUAUGCCUUACAGGAAAUAUCACGCUUUUGCAUUUAGUUGGGUAAGAUUACAUUUAUGUUCGAUAGAACAAUCAUUUAGUAUGAUAGAAUAACUUAUUGAUACCUAUAAUGCCAAAACCUUAGUAGACAAACAAGCAUGAUUAUGUUUCCUUGACCCAUACAUACUCAAGAUCAGUUUACCAGAGGAAGAAAAACUUGGAACUGUAGCACCAGAUAACUAACCUCAUCGACUUAUAAUGUUGGAUUCCUCAUAGGAGAUGACAUUCUGCUUUUCAGUAAGAAUAUGGAUAUUACUCUGUAUUUCUAGGAGAAAAAUGACCUCUAUAGCAUGAUCAUUAACCAAAUAUGGCCUAUGAAUUCUAGUUGGUUGUGGUUCUCAUUUGCAGGUCACUCAAGAGGAUCAUCUCCUUAAAUUGAGAUAAGUAAAUAUCUAGUUUGUAUUACCUAUCAAUACCUCAAGACGCUUGCUUGAUUGAUUAGCCCUAAAAUUCAAUACUAACAAGAUUACCGUGCAGGUGCUGAAAAUGAGUUGCGUUAGGAGCAUACUCAAGGUCUGCCAGCUCGUCAAAGGUUAUCCUCUUCACAAUAUCAUUGAGAAAUUCUUGUGGUUUACUUGCAAAAAGGGUAUCAGUCUAUCCAAAUGAUUGUAACAAACAUCAUUUAAGCCUAUAACUGAAAUGUCAUGCUUAGUUAGAAGGGAUUAAGAAGAGGAAAAGGACAGAGAACUUCUCAUUCUAUAGGUUAACUAAACAGAUGUAGAUGUGUUCAAGCACCUUUUGCAUUUUCUUACUUUAUGGUACAUAUUUACAUUGUGGCUCGCAUUCGAAGACUUGAAGUUUCUUAUUGUUUUAUUUUUCUUUGUGAUAAGCAAGUCUAUUCUUCAUUUUUGUUUGUAUUAUGGAAGUUUUUUAAGCUGCACGGAUUCUAACUUUGCAUGUGAUAUCAUAUGCCAUAUAAUUCUAUAGAAGUGGCUUGCUAACUGUUUUUUGUUACCUUAUAUUUUUAACUUCUAAUUGUUGCUUUUAUUGUUUGGUUUUAUGUCAGGUUGAUAUGCAAAAAUUGGAGUCAAAAAGAGAAUACUCUUAUGCAAAGCGUGUCGCCACAGAGAUUUCAGUUGCCUCUUUACAUGAAGGCUCGUCGAGUGAACUGUUGUGAAUUAAUAUUUUUGUAAUCAGCAUUGGAGUUUAUUUAUAUAGCACAGCUUGUUCUGAAGAUGUACAGGGGAAAAACUUUAUAUUUUUGAGAACCACUAUUGAAUGGUGUUGUAAGAUUUUCAAAAAUAAUGUGUACGUGCCUCUUUUGUUUUAAUUCAAAGUUCUUUUGUUGCGUAUGACAUUGUAGGAUCAAAAUUACAUGGAUGAUUGUGUUAUUAUUAGACAAGAAUUAUUAACUUUCUUCAAGU